Molecule: long non-coding RNA, 1495 nt
Filed under: Helianthus annuus (common sunflower)
Lineage: Eukaryota; Viridiplantae; Streptophyta; Magnoliopsida; Asterales; Asteraceae
Description: hypothetical non coding rna
Source: RNAcentral
AUGAUUUUGGUUGAAAUUAUAGGAGAAAAAAGGGUAAUAAAGUUGUUAAAUAGGUUGAUUAUGUUGUUUAUAUAUUUUUAGGGUGAUUACAACUUACGUUAUGAUUUCUAGGGCUUGAAUAGUUGAAAGUUAAAAUUGAAACAUUAUGUUAUGGAGCGAUUAACUUAUGUUAUAUAAAUAAAGAAUUGCUUAAAAAAUUAGUUUUAGAUGAUAUUUUGGAUAGAUUUCAAAAAAUGAAAACCCGUAGGGCGUCGACGUUUUAAUUAUGUUUGUAACAAGGUUUAACAUGUCUUUGAUGAUUAUAUAAAUUUAGUUUGAUGUUCGUUUAUUUUACAUGUCCCGACCCGACCCGAUACGAACCGAUUUUUUACUUAUAUACCUAGGGGCCUAAAAUUUUUAAAAAUGUUCCGCACCCCUAUGGAAAAAUUCCUGGGUCCGCCACUGUAUACAUGUUUACUUAAGUGUUGAAUAAUUGAUGCAACCCGUACGUGGAUGAAACUCCAAGAAUGUAGGAAACGAAAGGAAUCGGAACUUGGGACAAUUUUCUCAUAUCUUUUUAUUUCUCAAACUAAGCCAUUUAAAUACAAUGCAAGUGAAAGGAAUUAAGUUGAACAAAAAGAAAUAAUCUUAGAAGGAAAUAAUAACUUGAACAGAAAGAAAUAAUUGUGGAGCUUGUUGACAUAUUUAUUUAUUGCUCAUAACGGCUAGGCUUCAUUACUUCACGUCUGAGCCUGUUUGCUUGCUUGCAUGAGCUGACCCUGAACUGCUUGUGCAUGGGCCGCACUAAAUACAUAUCACACAAUUCAACAUUUCAGGUUUUCAACCCCUCAUUCAAACCUUGUAUAGCUUGAUUUGAUUACUUUAGUUCUCAUUUUCAAUACUUCAAAGUUGAAACACAAAUAGAUGUGUUUUGUCAAAAUUGGUACUCAGAGACUUUAUCAUUAAACAAAAAAGACAAGAAACAAAUCUCAGACGCAACACACUCUUCAAACUCUAAGACUCGAAUCAUCAACAUGACGAACGGACUUCAAUCUUUUACAUAAUCUACACGGGUUAAACACUAUAAACCCUAGAUUUAUAAGAACUAUACAGAGUGCUAGAGAGAGACGAAAGAGAAUUGUGACACUAUCUAAUAGACGAAAGAGAAUUGUGACACUAUCUAAUGUUGAGAGAUACUGAACAAAAAACUCUCUCUAACCCUAACCACAACAUACUUACUUAUAGAGACCCACGACCCGACUUGACCCACAUGAAAUAACACGCGAUAUGGGCCUAAUUAACAUACACGGGUAAUGGACUUAACAUAUGACCUAAAGUUGAUAACUUGAAACGUGAACCCUGUGUUGAUGGAUGCGUCGGGCUAGCCCAGUAGUUCUAUGGAGCCCAACCUUUAAAUGUCCAGCAGUGUAUAGCAACCCAUAUGAAUGUCUUAUCAAGCAGCCCAUAUCCUUGUUGAGAAGCCCAUGAUCCAUAUACAUGUUACACACAAAAAAUA